Molecule: ribosomal RNA, 1040 nt
Filed under: uncultured Basidiomycota
Lineage: Eukaryota; Fungi; Basidiomycota
Description: eukaryotic LSU rRNA
Rfam family: Eukaryotic large subunit ribosomal RNA (bases 352-1040)
Source: RNAcentral
AUCGAUGAAGAACGCAGCGAAAUGCGAUAAGUAAUGUGAAUUGCAGAAUUCAGUGAAUCAUCGAAUCUUUGAACGCAUCUUGCGCUCCCUGGUAUUCCAAGGAGCAUGCCUGUUUGAGUAUCAUUAAAUUAUCAACUGUGCCACUUUGGUUACAGAUUGGAUGUGGGAGAUUUCUUGCAGGCUUUCAACUUCUCUUGAAAGUCAGCUCUCCUGAAAUGUAUUAGCAGUGCCUUUGUUGGUUCAUUAGGUGUGAUAAUUUAUCUACAUCUUCAAAUGGUGCCUUCAUUUGUAAAGGGUCAUAUUGCUUCUAAUUGUCUUUGGACAAAGAAAACACAUAAUGUGUGACAAACUUGAUCUCAAAUCAGGCAGGACUACCCGCUGAACUUAAGCAUAUCAAUAAGCGGAGGAAAAGAAACUAACAAGGAUUCCCCUAGUAACUGCGAGUGAAGCGGGAAAAGCUCAAAUUUAAAAUCUGACAGUUGUUCUGGCUGUCCGAGUUGUAAUCUAGAGAAGUGUUACCCGCGCUGGACCGUGUACAAGUCUCCUGGAAUGGAGCAUCAUAGAGGGUGAGAAUCCCGUCUUUGACAUGGACUACCAGGGCUUUGUGGUGCGCUCUCAAAGAGUCGAGUUGUUUGGGAAUGCAGCUCAAAAUGGGUGGUAAAUGCCAUCUAAAGCUAAAUAUUGGCGAGAGACCGAUAGCGAACAAGUACCGUGAGGGAAAGAUGAAAAGAACUUUGGAAAGAGAGUUAAACAGUACGUGAAAUUGCUGAAAGGGAAACGCUUGAAGUCAGUCGCAUCGACUGGAAAUCAACCUUGCUUUUGCUUGGUGUAUUUUCUGGCUUGAUGGGUCAGCAUCAAUUUUGGUCGCUGGAUAAAGGCUUGGGGAAUGUGGCAUCUUAGGAUGUGUUAUAGCCCUUGGUCGCAUACAGCGGUUGGGAUUGAGGAACUCAGCACGCCGCAAGGCCGGGUCGUUUUACGACCACGUUUACGUGCUUAGGAUGCUGGCAUAAUGGCUUUAAUCGACCCGUCUUGAAACACGG